CGCUGGGAAAUGUAGUCCGCCUGCGUUGAGGUAAAUCCCGAGGGGGGUGCGGGUCGCGCAUGGCGGUGGUCUUCUCUCCCCCGCCUCCCCCUCAGGGAAGGUAUUUCAGUUGCCUCCUUGGGAGGAUUGAAACGCCGUGCUUGCCCCCGCCGAGGCCCCGUGCUCCCAACAGCGGCUCGCCCCACAAACAAGAGGAGGAAGACCCCCAGUUACGGGGGGGAAAGGCCGCCGCAGGCCAGCCGGAGGGGCCUCUGGUCAAGCCUCGCAGCAUAAAGGCCCGGUGCCCCCCUCCCCGCCUCACCACGCCGACACCGGAGUCGUGGAAAGGAGGAGGAGAGACUGAGUUUCACUUCAUGCUUCAGCCAGAGCACACGGAUACGACAAGCAUGCCAAACUCUUUCAUCUGCCUGGGAUUGCUCUCUUCCAGAGUGGUUUUCCUUUCUAAGAUGCUGUUAAACUCCCUUCCUCAUGAGUUUCCCAUCCUUUAAAUGAAGAGGGAACCGUUCCAGUCCUGGAGAUAUCCUGAUGUCUUUUCUGCAGCGUGGGAAGGAGAUGGAAAGAAAACAGCAAGAACUGCUUGUUUGGUGCAUUCCUGGGGACUGUGCUUGCCCCUGCAGUAUCCCAGCACCACCCCAGCAACGUGUUGGGUGACGUGAGUAACAUCUGUCACACGCUGUUUGCUCUUUUCAUCCCCGUCCCAGGGGUGAGCGCUGCACCGUGGCCUUGCUUCAGAU
Molecule: long non-coding RNA, 734 nt
Filed under: Calidris pugnax (ruff)
Lineage: Eukaryota; Metazoa; Chordata; Aves; Charadriiformes; Scolopacidae
Description: lncRNA (ENSCPUG00000013064.1)
Source: RNAcentral